GACGAACGCUGGCGGCGUGCUUAACACAUGCAAGUCGAACGGAAAGGCCCUGCUUUUGUGGGGUGCUCGAGUGGCGAACGGGUGAGUAACACGUGAGUAACCUGCCCUUGACUUUGGGAUAACUUCAGGAAACUGGGGUUAAUACCGGAUAGGAGCCCCUGCUGCAUGGUGGGGGUGGGAAAGUUUCGGCGGUUGGGGAUGGACUCGCGGCUUAUCAGCGUGUUGGUGGGGUAGUGGCUUACCAAGGCUUUGACGGGUAGCCGGCCUGGGAGGGUGACCGGCCACAUUGGGACUGAGAGACGGCCCAGACUCCUACGGGAGGCAGCAGUGGGGAGUAUUACACAAUGGGCGGAAGCCUGAUGCGGCAACGCCGCGUGCGGGAUGACGGCCUUCGGGUUGUAAACCGCUUUCGCCUGUGACGAAGCGUGAGUGACGGUAAUGGGUGAAGAAGCACCGGCUAACUACGUG
This 468-nucleotide ribosomal RNA is filed under the name uncultured bacterium. RNAcentral's name for it is "partial 16S ribosomal RNA". It matches the Rfam family "Bacterial small subunit ribosomal RNA", at positions 28 to 507 of the family's 1533-position model. The record is from RNAcentral.